GGAGCAGUGCGAGCUGUUGCUAGUGUAUACAAGUUAUAAGUUCAGUAAGGGCGACCGGGGAGAAGCAAUGUUUAAGGGAGGACACAUUGAUGCUGAGUGCAUAAAGGAUCUAAUAAAGCCUUCUGAGCAGCAAACCUUUGCUUCGUCUCCCCAAGGUGUCUCCCCUUAGUUUCCAAACCACGGUCAGGUGACUGUUGCAGGAAAGAUCAACAGUUUUAUAAUUUAAGAUCUCAGCAAAUCAGAAACAGCUUUAAUGGGAAAGUAUGUAAUGUGUACUGUUGUAAUCUUCGUCUGAAGUAUGCACAGUAUAAAUACUUUUCAUAUAUAUUAAUCAUUAUGGUACCCAGAUACACACACAGUGAAGAAAAUAAGUAUAUGAACACCCUGAUAUAUCACAUGUUUUCCCACUUAAAAAUCAUGGAGGGGUCUGAAAUUUUCAUCUUAGGUGCACGUACGAAAAAACAAGAAAUUACAAUGUAUUAUUUUGUAACUAUUUAUUUGUGUGAUACAGCUGUAAGUAUUUGAAAACCUACUGUAUCAGCUAGAAUUCUGACACUCAAAGACCUGUCAGUCCGCUUUUUAAAGCCCACCUGCACUCCAUGUAUUAUCCUGAAUCAGAUGCACCUGUGUGAGGUCAUUAGCUGCAUAAAGACACCUGUCCAUCCCAUGCAAUCAGUAAGAUUCAAACUUGUAACAUGGCCAAGACCAAAGAGCUGUCCAAAGACACCAGAGACAAAAUUGUACAACUCCACACGGUUGGAAAGGGCUACAGAGAAAUUGCAAAGCAGCUUGGUGAAAAAAGUUCCAAAAUGGAAGAAGCUAAACAUGACUCUAUCUUAAUCAAAGUGGAGCCCCAUGCAAGAUAUCACUUCGUGUGGUCUCAAUGAUCCUUCAGAAAGAAUACACGACAGGACUUGGUCAAUGACUUGAAAAAAGCUGGGACCACCGUUUCCAAGGUACUGUUAGUACAACACUAAGACGUCAAUAGUUUGAAAUCACGCAUGGUAUGGAAGGUUCCCCAGCUUAAACCAGCACAUAUCAAACUUUUUGGUCAUAAUUCCACUUACUGUGUUUGGAGGAAGACAAAUGAUGAGUUCCAUCCCAGAACGCCAUCCCUACUGCGAAGCAUGGGGGUGGUAGCAUCAUGCUUCGGCCAUGUUUUUCUGCACAUGGGACAGGACGACUGCACUGUAUUAAGGAGAGGAUGACCGCGGCCAUGUAUUGUGAGAUUUUGGGGAACAACCUCUUUCCCUCAGUCAGAGCAUUGAAAAUGGGUCGUGGUUGGACCUUUCAAUGUGAAAAUGACCCGAAGCACACAGUCAGGAAAACCAAGGAGUGGCUCCGUAAGAAGCAUAUCAAGGUUCUGGCGUGGCGUAGCCAGUCUCCAGACUUAUACCCAAUAGAAAAUCUUUGUAAGGAGCUGAAACUCCGAGUUUCUCAACAACAGGCCAGAAACCUGUCUGAUCUAGAGAACAUCUGUGUGGAGGAAUGGGUCAAAUUCCCUCCUGCAGUGUGCAAACCUGGUGAACAACUACAAGAGAAGUUUGACCUCUGUAGUGGCAAACAAAAGCUACUGUACCAAAUAUUAACAUUGGUUUUCUCAGGUGUUCAAAUACUUAAAUGCAGAUGUAUCACACAAAUAAAUUGUUGAAAAAAAACACACAAUGUGAUUUCUGGAUUUUUCUUUUGAGACUCUCUCUCUCACAGUGGACAUGCACCUAUGAUGAAAAUUUCAGACCCCUCCAUGAUUUCUAAGUGGGAGAACUUGCAAUAUAGCAGGGUGUUCAAAUACUUAUUUUCUUCAGUGCACAUGAAAACUCCUGGAGUGUGUGUGUGGGGGUGGGGUGAGGUGGGAGGAGUCGUACUUCACGUUUUUUUACAUUUCACGGGUUCUGGUCCCCAGUAAGUGCAAAAAAAUGAGGGAUUACUGUAUAUAUAUUCGAGGGAAAGGCAGGAAAGCCUGAAUUAAAAAAAAUAAAAUAAAAAAAAUAAUAAUCACUUGAAGGCCAUGGACUAGAAAACAACAAUUUGGGUCCCAUCAUUUAGAACAAUACACAAUCAUCCAAUUCAAUAAUGACAUGAGGGACAUAUACUUGACACCCUAAGAAAGGAAGAAUGCACACAAUACUAUCCACUAUUUGGCAAUUUGUCAAAACCUGCAAGGUUGUAGAAAGUUCAUACAAGUACAAGAUAAUGUACUUCCAAUCAGUUAUAUAUUAAAUGAUUGUACUCAACACCAUGAAACAAAUGUUGUACGAAUACAAUUGAGAGAUAUUUCAGAUAAUAUAAGCAUGCAACGCCACAACAAAAGAAAAUACUCAGGCAUGACAGCACAUUUUAAAUAAAACUUUAAAGGGGCUCCAAGGAGAUUUUAUUUCUAUAUACAUUAAAUGUGUUUGAAGUGCUGAAAACAUACAUGAAGACAUUAACAUGGUGCUGAAUUUUCAUGAUACACUAUAACUUAAGCAUGUUCAUUUGAAGUUUGCUCAUUUUGUGGGCAGCGGAAAACAUACUUUCUCGCCCAAAUUCCAUCCACCACUAUACAAGGACAAUUUUAGUCAAAAGGCAUUCAUAUUUGGCAGGCAUGUUAAUAUCACGUCAUUUUUUUGGGUUUGCUUUGUGCCAUUAAGUAUCGUAAUUUCUCAUGUAUAAUGCAUCCUCAAGUAUUAAGUAAUAAUUAAUAAUAAUCUUUGUGCAUGCACUGUUACAGCGGUUAUAUAAAGUAUAUCUCGGGACAGGCCACAGAACACGCUUUUCCUGGUCCCUUCAAUUGUCAGAACAGAAUCCCUCAACCAACUAAAACAAAUGCUCAUUGACAGCAUAACAUUUUAUUAACACUCCUGAGAACACCUAUUACAGUCUUAGAUAAAUAAAAUCUUUAACACUGUUUAACUUGAAAAAAUUUUGCAUUAAAUAUUUGAACAUAAAACAUAUGUGCAUAGCGUACUUUAUCCACUACAUUACACAUCCUUGGCCAAGACUUGAAUAGAAGCAUAUGACUCAUCUCCAAUCUUAAAAAGAUCCAUAGUAGCUACCUUUGAUGCAUCGUUGUGGAACUCAUUAUUGAUGACUUGGUCCAGUUCUGGUGUCUCCUGCAUUGCAGCAUGAACAGUGAUCCUAUCUUGCUCCCACAGAUUGUCAUCCUCUAUGUCAUCCACGGUUUUAGUGAGGAAACAUUUUUCGAGUCCCAAGAGUUUGGGUUCCGCAGCACAGCCACUGUUCAUUCAGCUACAAUCUGUAGCAGCUUUCCUAUGCAGUUGGGUCGCUGUCAAACCAAUGAGAGCUCAAACUACGUAAAAAUGAGCAUAAUAAUAUUAAAUAAAAAAAAAAAAAUUCAAGUGUGCGCGCCCUCUGUUCCCCCCCCUCCCACCCAUGUGUCCAUUAGGCUUGUACUACGUAGUUUGAGCUUACAUUGUUUUGAACUGCCACGCUGCUUCCGGGUUCCCCCUCACAUUGUUUUGAACUGCCGUGCUGCUUCCGGGUUCCCCCUCGUUAUCGGCAGGAGCGAUGACAUUUCUUUUAACAGCAGCUGCACAACUAGCCCUUGUCGUCGACAUUUUUUUAUCUUCGUUUAAGUUAAAACAAACUCGGGGGCCGUCGUUUCUGAUGUUUGGUGCAGUAGCAGCAAAUGUGCUACGCUAACGAUCGUAAAAUGCCAAGCUCCCUAAGGAGGUCAGAGAGCUCAGAAACUCCACACUGUCAUCCUAGCUAAUACCAGCUGACUAUGUACGGGAAACUAGGCCUGGGAGAGCCGCAGUGACGUCAGCGAGGUCAGUGGACAUGUUGCCGGAGAAAAAUA
Molecule: long non-coding RNA, 3799 nt
Organism: Syngnathoides biaculeatus (alligator pipefish)
Lineage: Eukaryota; Metazoa; Chordata; Actinopteri; Syngnathiformes; Syngnathidae
Exons: 3
Source: RefSeq, a predicted model, not a curated record